CCUACGGGAGGCAGCAGUGAGGAAUAUUGGUCAAUGGGCGCGAGCCUGAACCAGCCAAGUCGCGUGAGGGAAGACUGCCCUAUGGGUUGUAAACCUCUUUUGUCAGGGAGCAAUUGGCGCUACGUGUAGCGUUAUCGAGAGUACCUGAAGAAAAAGCAUCGGCUAACUCCGUGCCCGCAGCCGCGGUAAUACGUAGGUAGCAAGCGUUGUACGGAAUGACUGGGCGUAAGGGGCGCGUAGGUGGGCGCUUAAGUCAGGUGUGAAAACUCCGGGCUCAACCUGGAGACUGCACUUGAAACUGGGUGUCUUGAGGGAAGGAGAGGAAAGGGGAAUUCCUAGGGUAGCGGUGAAAUGCGUAGAUAUUAGGAGGAACACCAGUGGCGAAGGCGACGAUCUGGCCUGCAACUGACGCUCAGUCCCGAAAGCGUGGGGAGCAAAUAGGAUUAGAUACCCGUGUAGUC
RNAcentral lists this ribosomal RNA (461 nucleotides) under uncultured bacterium. RNAcentral's name for it is "partial 16S ribosomal RNA". It matches the Rfam family "Bacterial small subunit ribosomal RNA", at positions 338 to 795 of the family's 1533-position model. The record is from RNAcentral.